RNAcentral lists this ribosomal RNA (482 nucleotides) under uncultured bacterium. Its description in RNAcentral is "bacterial SSU rRNA". It matches the Rfam family "Bacterial small subunit ribosomal RNA", at positions 26 to 507 of the family's 1533-position model. The record is from RNAcentral.
AGGACGAACGCUGGCGGCGUGCCUAACACAUGCAAGUCGAGCGGAGCCAAUCGAAAGAUCCCUUCGGGGUGAAUUUUAGCAAGUUUAGUGGCGGACGGGUGAGUAACGCGUGAGCAACCUGCCUUUCAGAGGGGGACAACAGUUGGAAACGACUGCUAAUACCGCAUAAUGUAUCGGAACCGCAUGGCUCUGAUACCAAAGAUUAUAUCGCUGAAAGAUGGGCUCGCGUACGAUUAGAUAGUUGGUGAGGUAACGGCUCACCAAGUCGACGAUCGUUAGCCGGACUGAGAGGUUGAACGGCCACAUUGGGACUGAGACACGGCCCAGACUCCUACGGGAGGCAGCAGUGAGGAAUAUUGGGCAAUGGGCGCAAGCCUGACCCAGCAAUGCCGCGUGAAGGAAGACGGUUUUCGGAUUGUAAACUUCUUUUAAGAGGGACGAUAAUGACGGUACCUCUUGAAUAAGCCACGGCUAACUACGUG